AUCAUUACUAUUAUUUUUAUUUUCCUUUUUUUUUUUUUUUUUUUUUGUAACAGUACUUUCUAGUUUGAACUUUUCACUUCUCUAUCUUCCUAUAAUGAACUAAUAUUGUUUAAUUAAACUUAUAAUUACUUUUCAUCUUUAUUAAACUUUUUUAUUUCUGAUAGUUUUGACUUUUGCAUAAUUGCCAAGUUUCUGAAAUUUCUAACAAUAAAUUUCAUUAAACUAUUUCUGUCACUGUACUGACUUUUUUGAAUAUGGCUUCUUUGCAUGAAAAACUGAAAUAUUUCUGUUUAAUUACUGACAUGCAUUUAAUUAAUACAGAGGCAGCUGCACUCGAGUUUGCCACCGAUGCUGGACUUCUUCCCAGAGAGGAUGAGGCACCACCUUGCCCCAAGUGCCAGGCACCGAUGAGAAGCAACAAGAGAAAGGAAUCAAAGCUGGGAUGGCGUUGGGUCUGCAGCCUGAGAAAUCGCAACAACUGCUCUGGCAUGAUUAACCCCAUUGAAAACACAUUUUUCGAAGGUACAAAAAUCCCAAUAAGGGAAGCUUUAGUCAUAACUGUGUACUUUGUUCUAGAUCACAGUUUCAGCUACAUAAAUCAGCAGCUAAAGCUAUGGAGGGAAAAGCAAAAAUUACCAGUAAUUGCAAAUGAGACUAUUGUUGACUUUUUAUCAUAUUGUCGUGAGGUAUGCGAAAUUUUUGCCUCUCAUCAUAGCAGAAUGUUAGGUGGUAAAGGAAAAUCUAUAUUAAUUGAUGAAACAUUUUUGACCCGCCGCAAGUACAACCGCGGCAGGGUAACCAAAAAUAUGACCAUCGUAGUUUUAGGCAUCUACUGUCGAGAAGACAAAGAAGGAUUAUUUUUCAAGGUUAAAGGAAAAAGCAAAAGGCAUUUGUGGCCUUACAUUAAACGUCAUGUUCACCCAGAAACCACCUUCAUAUACACUGACUCUGCUCCACAAUAUAAAAGGAUAGAAAAUUUAUUUCCGGCAGCAACACAUAAAACUACCAAUCACAAGAAAGGCGUAUUCGUAGAUCCCGAUGAUAAACAGAACACUAUAAAUGAUCUUGAGGGUGAAAACAAACUUUUUAAGAGGUCUAUAAAGAGCAAGAGAACAGAUGAUAUUUGCACGCAGUACAUGGCUGUACAUUAUUACAGGCGGUUCCGCUUGAAGCCCUUUACUUAUGAUGGAGAAAGACUUGCUCAGUUUCUACAGGACAUUAAAGCUGUGUAUCCAGGCCAUGGAAAAGUCGGCCUUGAACUUAAAAUGUUGGACGAACCAACAUCAGAAAGCGAAGGAAUUGAGGACCUGAUGCCUCCAAAGAAAUCAGCCCGACAAGAUGAUGAUAUACCAUUCAUUCAGGAAGAUGAUGAUAAAUGGGAAUUCAACCAAAAAACAGAGCCCAGAAAACAAAAGGAUGGAAAUGUUGCGAAAAUGUUGCAUAUCUUUUACAGAAAGAGCUGCAGAUCCAAAAUGUCAUGAAAUACUAUGACAGAGGUAAGACAAAAUUUUAACCAUUCACAGCUUAUGUUUCAAAUUAGUGCUUCACUUUAUUUUAAUACUACUCCUUCAGUAAAAGCAACUGUAAAAUUUAUUUAGUUAUUAUUAGUAUAAGUUUACCUACUUAUUUUUCAGUAAAAAAAACUUUAUUGCAAAUUAGGUAAUCCAAAAAAAUAAAUAAAAGAAAGAAGAAAACUAAUUUUGACAGAUAAAUUGACAAACAUAGAGGUGAGUUGAUUAAUUUAAAGGUUUCCAGCCUACUUCUUACCAGAAAACAUUUUAUUGUUAAGGAUAAUUUAUCACCCCUUUCAGGUAAAGAAUAUUGCAGAAAUGAGAAAUGAAUCAUGGAAAGAAAUGAAUCUUCAGUCAGAAAAUAUACAGGGACUUCAAAAAUAACAUUUUGCUGCCACUUAGACGAGGGAAGAAGCAGAUGGAGAAAUCAACUCGGAUGACAAACCCAGUGCCUGGGGGUAUAGCCAGGUUUUUCUUUCAAGAAACACAUCCGAGUUGAAACGACUGAUGCGGGCCACACCUGAAAGCGAAGGAACUGAGCAACUGCUGCCACCACAGGAAAUCUCGACGAUCAUGAAAUUUAAAAUCUUGUUUAUUUAUCUUGUAUUCUGAACAUAUAUAACAUGGAUAUUUUCUCUACAAAAAACUCCAAAUAGUGAACUGCCAAGUAAUACUGCUG
Molecule: unclassified non-coding RNA, 2190 nt
Filed under: Stegodyphus dumicola
Lineage: Eukaryota; Metazoa; Arthropoda; Arachnida; Araneae; Eresidae
Description: uncharacterized LOC118196787, transcript variant X3
Source: RNAcentral